AUUGCAUAUUUCUUUAAGAGUGCUCAAUGUUAUUGAGAUAAUAGGGAAACCGGUGAAAGUCCGGUGCAGCCCCCGUUACUGUAAGCACAGAUGAACCUAUCAUAGUCCACUAGCCACUGGCCGGGAAGGAGAUGGAGUUCAAGUGAAGUGCAAGCCAGGAGACCUGCUUUUAAAGUAGCUAUACA
Molecule: non-coding RNA, 185 nt
Filed under: Fictibacillus macauensis
Lineage: Bacteria; Bacillati; Bacillota; Bacilli; Caryophanales; Fictibacillaceae
Also listed under: 1 other name
Source: RNAcentral